RNAcentral lists this ribosomal RNA (425 nucleotides) under uncultured bacterium. RNAcentral's name for it is "partial 16S ribosomal RNA". It matches the Rfam family "Bacterial small subunit ribosomal RNA", at positions 354 to 796 of the family's 1533-position model. The record is from RNAcentral.
GUGGGGAAUAUUGGACAAUGGGCGCAAGCCUGAUCCAGCCAUGCCGCGUGAGUGAUGAAGGCCCUAGGGUUGUAAAGCUCUUUCAGUGGGGACGAUAAUGACGGUACCCACAGAAGAAGCCCCGGCUAACUUCGUGCCAGCAGCCGCGGUAAUACGAAGGGGGCUAGCGUUGUUCGGAUUUACUGGGCGUAAAGCGCACGUAGGCGGAUGGUUAAGUCGAGAGUGAAAGCCUGGAGCUCAACUCCAGAACUGCCUUCGAUACUGGCGAUCUUGAGUCCGGAAGAGGUGAGUGGAACUCCUAGUGUAGAGGUGGAAUUCGUAGAUAUUAGGAAGAACACCAGUGGCGAAGGCGGCUCACUGGUCCGGUACUGACGCUGAGGUGCGAAAGCGUGGGGAGCAAACAGGAUUAGAAACCCUAGUAGUCC